Molecule: ribosomal RNA, 464 nt
Filed under: uncultured bacterium
Lineage: Bacteria
Description: SSU rRNA
Rfam family: Bacterial small subunit ribosomal RNA
Source: RNAcentral
AGGACUAACGCUGGCGGCGUGCCUAACACAUGCAAGUCGAACGAGGUAGCAAUACCUAGUGGCAGACGGGUGAGUAACGCGUGGUCAACCUACCUCUUAGUGGGGGAUAACUAGCCGAAAGGUUAGCUAAUACCGCAUACGAUCGUCGCGAGGCAUCUCGUGACGAUGAAAGGAGCAAUUCGCUAAGAGAGGGGACUGCGUCCCAUUAGUUAGUUGGUGGGGUAAUGGCCCACCAAGACUCCGAUGGGUAGCUGGCUUGAGAGAGCGACCAGCCACACUGGAACUGAGACACGGUCCAGACUCCUACGGGAGGCAGCAGUGAGGAAUUUUCCGCAAUGGGCGCAAGCCUGACGGAGCGACGCCGCGUGUGGGAAGAAGGCCUUCGGGUCGUAAACCACUGUCGAAGGGGACGAUAUUGACGGUACCCUUGGAGGAAGCCCGGCUAACUACGUGCCAGCAGCCGC